This is a long non-coding RNA of Parus major (Great Tit), 1713 nucleotides long. RefSeq lists it as uncharacterized. The record is from RefSeq and is a predicted model, not a curated record. Lineage: Eukaryota; Metazoa; Chordata; Aves; Passeriformes; Paridae. The transcript is spliced from 4 exons.
GCAGCCUUGCCAUGUGCCCCAGCCUCUCCUAGGGCCCCUCACCACUGGUGUUUGUCACAUUCUCUGGGCACAGGAGAGAGCUGUCUGUUCAGGCAUAAGCCUGCAGCCUCAUUGACAUGCAUUUGAUCCUGUGACCGGUGUGAGCAGGAGGCAGUUUAUGGAUGGAUGGCUUUGCACUCAGGAAGGGAGAAAAGUGAAAGAGACCCGCAUCUCCAACAAUCCCACAAGUGGCAAAACUGCAUCCAUGGUACACAAGGUCUGGGAUUAGGAGUCUUCAUCCUGAGUAAGGAAAAUGUCUGAUCUGACACAUUGGCUGCCUCACACGUCUGUGCUCAGUUGCUUCCCCACCGGUUCUUGCCUGCAUUUGCUGUUCCGUGAAGGUCUUGGGAAGCUCAGGGGCUCUGCUCUCUCAAGCAAGCUGAAGUAUUUCCAUCCACGUUCAGUAUCUUGAAUUUUCAUUAGAGUGGGAGACCACUUCAGUUUCUGAUUAUCUGUUUGCUUGCAGGUCUGUCUGCUCAGGCUGCAGACAGACAUGUCUUUUACUGCCAUUUGUAUAGAGCUGUGAGAACAGAAAGUGUGUUUGCAGGGAGGGAAAGAAAAGUGAAAUAAGUGUAAGUGAAGUCUAUUGUACAUUUGGGAGCCUUAGCUGAUGCCUGUGAAAACAAAACAUAAGGAAGCAGGUGAACUUGUCUUCCUGAGACCAAGCCAUCUCUCCUCCCUGGAAAGGAAUCAGAGAGAGGAGGUGGGAUUUCUCAGGAAGGUGGCUGGGGGAAGGCUUAGAGCAAAGCUUGAUGUUUUUUAGUGAACCUACAGAGAUCAUGGUGUUUCAAAACACUGUGAAUAAGGCUGCAGAGAUGUUGUGUUUGAGGUUUUUCCUUGCUUCUAUGUGCUCAAACUGCAUCAAACAUUUUUUUCCUCUAAUUCCACUCAGCUAUUUAUUUUCAAAUUUGUGGUUAUACCAAACUAGUCUUAAUGGAAGCUGGAAAUGUCACAGCAUUAAGGGUAAUGUGCACCCUGAACCUCCUACGUUACUGGUGCUAAGAUGCAGGUCAAAGAGAACUUCUUAACAUCAGGUGCCACAAUGUUUGUGUUGGUACCUACAAAGGGCUGUCAGGUUUGUGCACUGUCAAACAUCCUGAUUGAUUACACAUUAAAAAAUAUGAGCACUGAGACAAGAUUUCUGCUAUUUCCUCUAGCACACAACACAAGAUGGCUGAUGGUAAUUAGCCAUUGUUAAUGUAUAAUGUAACUCCUUAAAUUUCUAGAUGGAAAAAAUAUAAUGUCCUCAAAAUCAGAUGGAAAAGAUCUAUAAGAAAAAAUGCAUGCAGAGUCCUAACUUGACAACAAUUGAGGGGUUGAUAGUGUCUCAGUUCCCAUCCCUGCAGCUGUUUCUUUCUCUUCAGCAAUACAUUGAGUAGUGGAUAUCAAUUGACAAAAUAAAUGAUGCUGACUUGUGAUUAAUUUGAAUCAGAUUUGCAUUUGAAAGACACCAAAAAUUUGUGGAAAAACAGGAUGAAAGACUCAAGAUCUUAACAGGCUUAAACUUAAAAUAGAAGAAGACAGUAAAUUUGUAAGUACUGGAAUUUGACACUAUAAAAAGCCAUCAAUAAACUCCCAUUGUAUGUAAGAAGAGAGAUGGAAAUAUUCAGAAGUGCUGCAUAAAUUACUUUUCCUGUGAGUUUCUUAGUACCUACCCUUUUCAUUCUUUUAAAA